Salvia miltiorrhiza (redroot sage) is the source of this 562-nucleotide long non-coding RNA. RefSeq lists it as uncharacterized. The transcript has 2 exons. The record is from RefSeq and is a predicted model, not a curated record. Lineage: Eukaryota; Viridiplantae; Streptophyta; Magnoliopsida; Lamiales; Lamiaceae.
AAAUCUGUUCGAUUUGGUUCUGCAUGGUUGGCGAGAUGAGCAGCUCACCGUGCGGCUGCGACGGAAAUGUGAGGCGGAAUGCGUAUUCGCGCCUCACUUUGGUGUUCGGAGCCAGCAAUGCCUCUAAAAUGCUGCUGGCAACUGCCCCUCCCCAAUCGAUUCGACGCCAUCGUCACCAUUGCCUACGAAGCUCAAGCAAGAAUCCGCAAUCCUGUUCAUGGCUGCGUUGCUCACAUCUUCGCAACAGGUGGUGCAUUUGCAAGAUGAAUUGAUGCAGACGAGAGCUCAGCUGGCAGCGCAUCAAUUUCCGACGAUGCAAGGCUACGACGUUAGUGAUGGAUUUAGUGGUAUGCAGUGCUACACAGAUGAUGAAGUUGUGCUGUUGCAACGCCAAACUACCCACGAUGAUACUCAACAAUGGGAACUGAUAUCUCUCUCUAUAUAUAUACAAGUUUUUACCUAAUUAUAGAGGAUGCUCAUUCUAGCUACUAUUAUGCAUUAAUUUAUAUUAUGACUCGAUCGUUUUUUUGGUUUAUAUACCACAAUUAACCUCAUUUAUAUA